RNAcentral lists this ribosomal RNA (1699 nucleotides) under Folliculina simplex. RNAcentral describes it as "LSU rRNA". It matches the Rfam family "Eukaryotic large subunit ribosomal RNA", at positions 23 to 1873 of the family's 3401-position model. The record is from RNAcentral. Lineage: Eukaryota; Ciliophora; Heterotrichea; Heterotrichida; Folliculinidae.
ACCCGCUGAACUUAAGCAUAUCAAUAAGCGGAGGAAAAGAAACUAACUAGGAUUGCCUUAGUAACUGCGAGCGAACCGGCAUCAGCCCAGACUGGUAAUCGCCUCGGCGAAUUGUACAGUUCAGACUCGCUCCUUACACCGCGGCGGAGGCGCAACUGUGGUUGGAACACCCGGCCGAAGAGGGUGAUAGCCCCGUACCGCUCCUGCCAAGUGAUAGGACGAAGUCUAAGAGUCGGACAGUUUGGGAGUACUGUCCUAAGUGGGAGGUAGACUCCUUCUAAGGCUAAAUAUCCACAAGAGACCGAUAGCGCACAAGUACUGUGAAGGAAAGAUGAAAAGAACUUUGAAAAAAGGGUUAAAAUACUUGAAAUCGCAGAGGAGGAAGCAGUGACCACGCCAGGCCGGAUACCCAAGAUGUUGGCAAGCCUUCAUGGGAGGUGUCCGGGAUGCCCUCAGAUGCAGCAGGACCGAGCGCAGCUGCUGUCAGCACUGUUGCCCACGUCCCAGCUGUGCCUGAGGGUUGGGUGUGCCCACUGGCCCGUCUUGAAACACGGAUCAAGGAGUCUAACAUGCCUGCAAGUAGUCGGGCGUUAACCCCCACUGCGCAACGAAAGUGAGCCUUGCCAAAUCUGCAGCAAGGGCCGUGUCAACGAGCUCAGCAGGCAUGCUGGGACCCGAAAGAUGGUGAACUAUGCUUGGGAAAGGCGAAGCCAGGGGAAACUCUGGUGGAGGCUUGUAGAGUUUCUGACGUGCAAAUCGUUCUUCUAACCUGAGUAUAGGGGCGAAAGACUAAUCGAACCAUCUAGUAGCUGGUUCCCUCCGAAAUUUCCCCCAGGAUAGCUGGAACAGGUCAGUUUUAUCGGGUAAAGAUAAUGAUUAGAGGAUCGGGGGCUGUAUUGCCUCCACCUAUUCUCAAACUUUAAAUUGGUAAGAUCAGGAAGUUGCUUAAUUGAACUUCUUGGUGAAUGAUAGUUCCAAGUGGGCCAUUUUUGGUAAGCAGAACUGGCGACGAGGGAUCAACCUACGGCAGGGUUGAGGCGACAAACUGGCUGCACAUCGGACGAAAAGGUGUUAGUUCAUUUAAACAGUAGGACGGUGGCCAUGGAAGUCGGAACCCGCUAAGGAGUGUGUAACAACUCACCUACCGAAUGGACUAGCCCUGAAAAUGGAUGUCGCUCAGCAGCCGGCCGAUACCCUGCUGUCUGCACGUGUGCAGACAGGUAGGAGGGCGUGAGGGUUGCGUGGAAGCAUCUGUGAGGACAGGUGUGGAGCAGCCCUUAGUGCAGAUCUUGGUGGUAGUAGCAAUUAUUCAAAUGGGAACUUUGAAGACUGAAGUGGAGAAGGGUUUCAUGAGAACAACAUUUGGUCAUGAGUAACUCGGUCCUAAGGCCAGGGGAAGUCCCGCGACGACGCAGUCCAGGCCGAAAGGGAAUGCGGUUAAUGAUCCUUCCGCAGGUUCUGCUACCUGUGUGGCAACACAACUGAACCCGGAUACGUCGGAGUGAGGCCCCAGAGAGAGUUCUCUUUUCUGUUUAACAAGUCGCUGCCCUGGAGGUCUUCACGACGAGAGAGGGCUAUAGACUUGGAAGAGCAGCACACCCUCUGUGCUGUCUGGAGCGCCUCCUUCGGCCCUUGAAAAGCCGGGGGAAACCUUAUCGCUCGUCUGGCCGUACCCAUAACCGCAUCAGGUCUCCAAGGU